Molecule: ribosomal RNA, 462 nt
Filed under: Streptococcus sp. oral taxon 064
Lineage: Bacteria; Bacillati; Bacillota; Bacilli; Lactobacillales; Streptococcaceae
Description: bacterial SSU rRNA
Rfam family: Bacterial small subunit ribosomal RNA
Source: RNAcentral
GACGAACGCUGGCGGCGUGCCUAAUACAUGCAAGUAGAACGCUGAAGGAGGAGCUUGCUCUUCUGGAUGAGUUGCGAACGGGUGAGUAACGCGUAGGUAACCUGCCUGGUAGCGGGGGAUAACUAUUGGAAACGAUAGCUAAUACCGCAUAAGAGUAGAUGUUGCAUGACAUUUGCUUAAAAGGUGCAAUUGCAUCACUACCAGAUGGACCUGCGUUGUAUUAGCUAGUUGGUGAGGUAACGGCUCACCAAGGCGACGAUACAUAGCCGACCUGAGAGGGUGAUCGGCCACACUGGGACUGAGACACGGCCCAGACUCCUACGGGAGGCAGCAGUAGGGAAUCUUCGGCAAUGGACGGAAGUCUGACCGAGCAACGCCGCGUGAGUGAAGAAGGUUUUCGGAUCGUAAAGCUCUGUUGUAAGAGAAGAACGAGUGUGAGAGUGGAAAGUUCACACUGUGACG